UUUCUGCGUUCCCCUUGUGCUUCUGGAUAAAGUUUCAGUGAAGAAGAUGGCUUCCUCAUUGUGUCAAUCCUCCAGAGUCUCCACAUCGCUGCCUGGUGUACUCAUUUCCUGCAUUAUUCUUUGUAUUUGCAAGGUGGAAUCAGCCCUGUUUACAGUUGUUGGACCUGAUCAGCCAAUCACUGCCAUUGUGGGGGAAGAGAUCGUAUUGCCAUGCCACCUGUCCCCCAGCAAGAGCACUAGGAACAUGGAAGUGGGUGGUUCUGGUCUGAGUUCACAAAUUAUGUUCAUCUGCACCAUGAUGGGAAAGAUCAGUUUGGACGACAGUUGCCAGAAUACAAGAGAAGGACAGCGUUUUGGAAGGAUGGCAUCACAGAUGGAAAUGUUUCCCUGACAAUUCUCAGUAUCAGGCCUUCAGAUGAAGGGCAAUACCACUGCCUUGUUGGUGAUGGUAUUACUUAUGAAGAAGCUGUAAUAGAACUGAAGGUAGCAGGUUUAGGCUCUAAUCCUAUCAUCUCUGUGGAGGAUUACCAGAAUGGAGGGAUCCUGGUGAUGUGUCGAUCAGCUGGGUGGUACCCAGAGCCCCAAGUGCUGUGGAGAAAUUCUCAGCGGCAUCAUAUACAAUCACUCUCUGAAAUAAAAUCCCCAAAGGAAAAUGGCCUGUUUGAAACAAAAAUUUCUGCUGUCAUGAAGGAAGAUUCAAACCAGAACUUGUCCUGUUGCAUCAGGAACAGCCUCCUCGACCGAGAGAAGGAAUCAGCAAUUCAUAUAUCAGGUCAGUUCCAUCCAAACCCUCCAGUGAACCGCCUCCGCUAGAAACCAAGUGAAAUAUGGGGUAAACACACAUUAGUGAAUUUUUAAUGGAUAUUUUCACAGCAUCUAUCUACCGGUAUUGAUUUAUUUGUGAACUCUUUAAGGCUUUUUACUGCACUGAAUCAUUGUUCAUUAUUUGUCAUAAAAAAAUGAAAACUAAGUUGUGAG
Molecule: long non-coding RNA, 978 nt
Organism: Alligator mississippiensis (American alligator)
Lineage: Eukaryota; Metazoa; Chordata; Crocodylia; Alligatoridae
Exons: 3
Source: RefSeq, a predicted model, not a curated record